UUCGCCCUUAGAGUUUGAUCCUGGCUCAGGAUGAACGCUGGCGGCGUGCCUAACACAUGCAAGUCGAACGAAGCUCCUGCGACAUAUUCCUUCGGGAUGAAGAUGCUUGAGACUUAGUGGCGGACGGGUGAGUAACGCGUGGGUAACCUGCCCUGUGCUGGGGGACAACAGUUAGAAAUGACUGCUAAUACCGCAUAAACCUACGGAGUCGCAUGGCUCAGUAGGAAAAAUUCCGGUGGUACAGGAUGGGCCCGCGUCUGAUUAGCUAGUUGGUGAGGUAAUGGCUCACCAAGGCGACGAUCAGUAGCCGGCUUGAGAGAAUGAACGGCCACAUUGGGACUGAGACACGGCCCAAACUCCUACGGGAGGCAGCAGUGGGGAAUAUUGCACAAUGGGGGAAACCCUGAUGCAGCAACGCCGCGUGAGUGAAGAAGUAUUUCGGUAUGUAAAGCUCUAUCAGCAGGGAAGAAAAUGACGGUACCUGACUAAGAAGCUCCGGCUAAAUACGUGCCAGCAGCCGCGGUAAUACGUAUGGUGCAAGCGUUAUCCGGAUUUACUGGGUGUAAAGGGUGCGUAGGCGGAUUGGCAAGUCAGAAGUGAAAUCCAUGGGCUUAACCCAUGAACUGCUUUUGAAACUGUUAGUCUUGAGUGAAGUAGAGGUAGGCGGAAUUCCCGGUGUAGCGGUGAAAUGCGUAGAGAUCGGGAGGAACACCAGUGGCGAAGGCGGCCUACUGGGCUUUAACUGACGCUGAGGCACGAAAGUGUGGGUAGCAAACAGGAUUAGAUACCCUGGUAGUCCACACUGUAAACGAUGAUUACUAGGUGUGGGGGGUCUAACCCCCUCCGUGCCGGAGUUAACACAAUAAGUAAUCCACCUGGGGAGUACGACCGCAAGGUUGAAGCUCAAAGGAAUUGACGGGGGCCCGCACAAGCAGUGGAGUAUGUGGUUUAAUUAGACGCAACGCGAAGAACCUUACCAAGUCUUGACAUCCCUUGACGAUGCUGGAAACAGUAUUUCUCUUCGGAGCAAGGAGACAGGUGGUGCAUGGUUGUCGUCAGCUCGUGUCGUGAGAUGUUGGGUUAAGUCCCGCAACGAGCGCAACCCUUAUGGUCAGUUACUACGCAAGAGGACUUUGGCCAGACUGCCGUUGACAAAACGGAGGAAGGUGGGGAUGACGUCAAAUCAUCAUGCCCCUUAUGACUUGGGCUACACACGUACUACAAUGGCGUUAAACAAAGAGAAGCAAGCCCGCGAGGUGGAGCAAAACUCAGAAACAACGUCCCAGUUCGGACUGCAGGCUGCAACUCGCCUGCACGAAGUCGGAAUUGCUAGUAAUCGUGGAUCAGCAUGCCACGGUGAAUACGUUCCCGGGCCUUGUACACACCGCCCGUCA
Molecule: ribosomal RNA, 1394 nt
Filed under: uncultured bacterium
Lineage: Bacteria
Description: 16S ribosomal RNA
Rfam family: Bacterial small subunit ribosomal RNA
Source: RNAcentral